GGCAAGAUGGCACAGCGAGUAGCGCUGUUGUCUCAGCUGCAAUAGGUUAUGGGAUCGAUCCCCACUCUGUCU
Molecule: transfer RNA, 72 nt
Filed under: Scleropages formosus (Asian bonytongue)
Lineage: Eukaryota; Metazoa; Chordata; Actinopteri; Osteoglossiformes; Osteoglossidae
Description: tRNA-Leu
Source: RNAcentral